RNAcentral lists this long non-coding RNA (4384 nucleotides) under Pandoravirus dulcis. RNAcentral's name for it is "putative ncRNA". The record is from RNAcentral.
CGCCCAGCGGAUGCGCUCCGGCGCCGCCCAGUGCACGGUGCCCAGGUUGUGCUGCUGUUGCUGCUGCUGGGUGUCUGACCCGCCGAUCGAUCGAUUGGUGCCGGUGCCGGUGCCGGUACCGCCGAUGCGCAUCGACGAGAGGCCAAAGUCGCUCACCUUGGUCUGCCACUUUUCCGUGAUCAAUAUGUUGAGCGACUUGAGGUCGCCGUGGCUGAUGCCCGACGAGUGCAGAAAGUGCAUGCCCUUGGCGGCGUGGUGCGCGAUGGCCACCUUCAACUUGAACGGGAUCUGCACCAGGAGUUCAUUGUCGAGCACGUCGCGCAGCGACCCGAGCGCCAUGUGCUCCAUGACGAUGGCGAGCGCCGGCGGCCGGGUGGACGCGCCCAUGAACAUGACCACGUGCGGGUGGCGCAGGGUGCACAUCACCCUGACCUCCUCGGCAAAGUGGGCCAGCGCGACGCGGUCCCACCCGCGCGCGGACGCGUGGAAGCGCUUAACGGCGACGCGCGUGCCGCGCCACACGCCCUCAAACACCUCGGACGUGGCGCCGGCGCCCAGGCUGCGCACGGUGGCGAUCUCCUCGAUGUCGAUCUCGCAGCCCGAGUCGAGCGCGCGCCGCCGCGCGCCCCGGUGGCGGACGAUCACGAGCACGGCCACCAACAGCACCAAGAUGACGAGGCCGCAGCAGACCGGCACCGCCACGCCGACGGCGACGCCCACGAUGAGCGCCGUCCCCGUGCCGUCGUCCCUCGAUCCGGGUCCCGCAGAGGCAGUGUCGGCCGUUUCGCAGUGGGCGCCCGUCCACCCGGCGUCGCACGAGCACGCGGCGCUCGACCACGUCGUCGCGGGCGCCGUCGACGGUGCCGCGCUCGCGAGGCACUGUCCGUGGUUGGCACACAGGGUGACCCCCACGGCCGGGUCGGCGGCGUCCGGCGGCACAUAGAGGCACGGCGCCACGCCGAGCACGUGGACACGCGCACCGGCCCUCGACAGGCACGUGACAUCGGCGAGCGCCGAGAUGAUGCGCGCAGUGGCGCCUGGACCCGAGGCGCGCGUCGACGUGGCGAGGCCCUGCGCGGUCGCCACCGCCGCGCCGUCGGCCGACGUCUGGGUCCAGUAAAGGGCGUCGACGAGGCCGGCCGCCUUGGCACAGUCGGGCGUCGUCUCGCGGUGCAUGUAGGCGUGGUACCAGCCGAGGAUGGGCCAGGCGCCGGCGGUCGCCGCGCCCACCAUCAUCGUCGGCAGGCCGGCAAAGGGCAGCGUCGCAUUGGCGCGCCGCGCGUGCGUUGCUGUCGAGGAUGGUGUCGCUGUCGAGGAGGAUGAGGAGGAUGAUGGUGAUGACGACCGAGGGACAGUCAAAGGCCCAUAGGCAUCGGCGCGGCGCGCAGGACUGCGGGGCACAAAGUCGGGCAGGACAAAGUCGGCCGUGGCGAGGGCCAGGGCGUCGGCUGUGGGUGACACGCGGUUGCCGGCGGCAUCGCGCAGGUCGGCCAGGCUCGGAUUGCGCGCUGCGAGCGCGGCCUCGACAGCGUCGACGCCCAGCGCAUAGGGCGUGGCCUUGACGGCGGCAGCGACGCCGUCGCCGGCCAAGAGGACGCGCGCGGGCGCCAGCGACUCGAUCGGAUAGACGAUCGAAGCGACGCCGGCCGUCGUCCUGGAACCGUUGAGCACCUGGUCGCAAAAUGCCGCGUCGGCCGCCAUGUAUUCGGCGGCAAAGCGAUUGGCCACGCCGCCGAGCGGACCGCCGGCGCCCGACGCCGACCCGCCCUUGGCCAGCGCGACGACGAUCGGCCGACCGGGCAAGACGGCGGCGAGCAGCGGGUUGGCCGCGACAAUGUCGCCAUGGUUCCACGCGUCGAUCCGGCCCAGGACGAUGCCGGCCAAGAGACCGGCGUCCAGGAGCAGGGGCGCCGUCUCGCGGGCAAUCUCGGGCACGUUGUAGACGGCGGCGUAGGGCCGCACGGCCACGGGCACCGACGUGCAGUCGACGCACGCCGCCGCCAGCACCGGGCCGAGGUCGGUGACGCCGGCCGACGUCACGGCAAAGUCGAUGCCGUACGAGGCCAGGCGCGCGACGGCCUCGUCCUCGCCGUCCUCGGCCAAUUUAAGACGCGCGCCAGAGGUGGCGCCCGCGCGCGACGACGCAUAGGCCUGCAUCCAGCCCGACCACACGAGCGACGUCGUGCCGGCGCCGACGAGGGCGGCCGCGGCGACGCGCGUCGUGCCCAGCGCAUUGUUGGUCACGGCUGCUGUUGCUGCUACUGACGUCGUCCUCUUUGCCACCGGGUAGGGCUCUGUGGUGCCCGAGUUUGUCCGCGGGGUUCCCGAGAACAGAGCAAUGUCAGUCGACGCCGCCGAGGACGUGGCGCAGAGCGAGACGGCGCCCAUCAUGUCAGUGGCGCGCUGGCGAAAGUUGCCCGACAGCGGAACGAGACCGCGCGAGGCCAGCGUGGCCGCCAGCGCGCCGUCGUUGACCGCGAGCCAGGCGAGAAAGUCGAGCGCGGCCUCGGCGUACUGGCAGUCGUAGCCGGCGGGGAGCGCGUCCGUGCGCAGCACCGCCGUGACGAGACCCACGACGGGCCACGUGUUGGGAUCGUCCAGGUCCGACAGGCCCGACACGCCCGUGUCGUAGGGCACGCCGCGCAGGGCGAGCGCGUCAUAGGUGUCCAUGGCCUCGUACGCGGCCGAAGGCGUCCAGCCGAAAAAGAACCGGCCGGCGCGGUUGGUGAGCAUCGGGCGCGCGUACGUGGCCAUCGCCGGAUCGCCCGCCACGGUGUACGCGAUGACGCCGUCGCCCGACGCCAGGGCCGCCGCUGUCGUGGCAAAGAGGCGCGCGCCCGUCGUCGGGUCGUAGACGGGACCGGUGGGCGUCGUCCCGGCGGGCACGACGGCCGACCAGGUCUCGGGGUCGACCACGAGGGUGCGGUUGGCGCCGGCCGUGGCCAGGACGAGCGCGGCGAGGUCGCCCCCGUGGGCGGCGUAGGCCGAGGCAAAGGCGGCGCUGGCCGACGCCAGGGCCUGCGCAAAGGUGGCGCCGAGCGAGGCGGCCUCGGCCUCGAGCGACCCAUAGGCAAAGCGCUCGACGGCGAUGAGGACCUCGCCCGCCGGCAGCAUGUCGGGCGUGGCACCGCUGCCGGCCGCAAAGGCCGGGUCGUCCCAGCGCGCGACGGCGCCCGACCACACGGCGGCAAACAGCGGCAGGCCGUCAAAGAUGACCAUGCUCGGACCGCCGGCGAACGAGUAGACCACCUCGACGCCAUAGGCCGCCACGGGCAACUGCACGCGGCCGGGCAGCGGGCGCGGGACCUGCGCGGCCAAGAGCACGACGUCGCAGCGGCCCGAGUCAUAGUCGGCCAUCGCCGUGGCGGCGUCGGUGUCGAGGCGCCGGACGGCCACGUCGUCCACCGUAAAGACAUAGGCCGACGCCACGACGUCGAGGGUGUCGCCGCCCAGCGCGGCGCCCUCAAACAGCAGGGUCUUGGUGGGCGUCAUGGGCAGGAUCGACAUGUCGUUCGACCGGUCGAGCGGCAGGCACACAGGGUCGGCGGCGGCAGGCGCCGUCGCCAGCGCGAGCAACAGCGCCAGGGCGGCCGCGCACGUCUGGCCGGAGAGAGAUUAUUUUAAAUAAAUAUCCAAACAAAAAAAGAGGAAUAAAAGACGGGGCGCGAAGGGGGCGGAAAGCCGCGCGACGGGAAGAAGGGCGCGCCGUACCCAGAGCGUGCAGCGGCGCAACGGGGAUGUGCGGUCGGAGCGGCGGUGCGCAAAAGUCAUGGCAGGUGUGCGAUGAGUCUGGUGCUGUCUGUCGGCGUCGGCGAUGCAGAUGGUUGCGGGGAUGGCGGCCGUGGUUGUGACAGUGAUGGAUGGCAAUACAGGAAGGCACGUCGAUAUCCUCGCCCGUGUCGGAUUUGGUGUCGCCCAGUGUGCACGGGUUAGAGUGCGAAGGAGAGGGGCCGAGCGGACAAAGGGGGCAAAAAGAGGGCUGUGUGUGCGUCGUCUGAUCCGCCCGUAUGUGCGUACUAUAGAGACACACCACGAGGCCGCGACGACGUAUUUACGGGCCGCACGACGGGGCGAGCGCGCAGGGCUCAACCAAUCGCCACCACUUGCCCAUUUUGGGACUCGCAAAUAGCAUUCGGGCAUGUCGAUUCGAAUCGACGGUUGAAUUGCUACGGUCCCUUUUCACAACAACGUACGGAACUCGAUCGCGGUGUCGGAUCGCGUGGCGGGACACGAUGCCGUUGCCAGACGACGGUGGUCUUGUUCAUUUGCGCACCGUCGGGCGACGGCGUGAUCCGUUCGCGUGCGCGCAAGCGUUGCUCUUGUGCCACCCGCCAAUAUAUUGGCCUGUGCAAAAAAAUGGCGCCUCGCCAGAGCCCUUUUCCAC